GCGGCGCAUGCGUAACGUCGUCGAGGGCUCAGAGGGGUGCUUGCUUGUCUUGUCCCGUCCGAGGCGCCGUCCGUUCCGUGAGUGGCGGUGCGAAGAUCUCUGGGGGGGCCGUAAUAGCGUCGCACCCCGAUCCCUUCCCCCCCUCCCCUAGUGAGGAGCGAGUCUCCGGCUCUGAGGAGGGGCUGGGACCGCGCCCCCAUCUCCUCCCACCCGCCCCGCAGGGGGGCUCCGUAGCCAUGGCAAUGACGGGUCCAACACCUUGUUCAUCCAUGAGUAACCACACAAAGGAGCGAGUUACAAUGACAAAAGUGACAUUAGAAAACUUCUAUAGCAAUCUCAUAGCACAACAUGAAGAACGGGAAAUGAGACAGAAGAAGCUAGAAAAAGUGAUGGAAGAGGAAGGUUUAAAAGAUGAAGAGAAGAGACUCAGGAGGUCCGCACAUGCCCGAAAGGAAACAGAGUUUCUUCGGUUGAAGAGAACAAGACUUGGUUUGGAAGAUUUUGAGUCCUUAAAAGUAAUAGGCAGAGGAGCAUUUGGAGAGGUGCGGCUUGUCCAGAAGAAGGACACAGGGCAUGUAUAUGCGAUGAAAAUACUACGCAAAGCUGACAUGCUUGAAAAAGAGCAGGUUGGCCAUAUUCGUGCGGAGCGGGACAUACUAGUGGAGGCAGACAGUUUGUGGGUUGUGAAAAUGUUCUAUAGUUUUCAAGAUAAAUUAAACCUGUACCUUAUCAUGGAGUUCCUGCCUGGAGGUGAUAUGAUGACACUGUUGAUGAAAAAAGACACCCUAACAGAAGAAGAGACUCAGUUUUAUAUUGCGGAGACUGUGUUAGCCAUUGACUCCAUUCAUCAGCUUGGUUUUAUCCAUCGGGAUAUCAAGCCAGAUAACCUCCUCUUGGAUAGUAAGGGCCAUGUGAAACUGUCAGAUUUCGGUCUCUGCACUGGGCUAAAGAAGGCUCACCGAACGGAGUUCUACAGAAACUUGAACCACAGUCUUCCGAGUGAUUUCACUUUCCAGAACAUGAAUUCCAAAAGGAAAGCAGAAACGUGGAAGAGAAAUAGACGUCAGUUGGCCUUUUCCACUGUGGGAACUCCAGAUUACAUCGCUCCUGAAGUCUUCAUGCAGACGGGUUACAACAAGCUUUGUGAUUGGUGGUCACUUGGGGUCAUCAUGUACGAGAUGUUAAUUGGUUAUCCCCCUUUCUGUUCUGAGACCCCUCAAGAAACCUAUAAGAAAGUGAUGAACUGGAAAGAGACUCUGAUCUUCCCCCCAGAAGUUCCAAUCUCUGAGAAAGCAAAGGAUCUUAUUCUAAGAUUUUGCUGUGAAUGGGAGCACAGAAUUGGUGCACCUGGUGUCGAAGAAAUCAAGGGUAACCCCUUCUUUGAAGGGGUUGACUGGGAGCAUAUCAGAGAGAGACCUGCUGCAAUAUCAAUAGAAAUUAAAAGCAUUGAUGACACCUCAAACUUCGACGAAUUUCCAGAAUCGGAUAUCCUUAAACCAACAGUGGCCACAAGUAACCAUCCAGAGACUGACUACAAGAACAAAGACUGGGUCUUCAUCAAUUACACCUACAAACGAUUUGAGGGGCUGACAGCCCGAGGGGCAAUCCCAUCCUAUAUGAAAGCAGGAAAGUAGUGAACUGUGACCUGAGACUAUUUCUGAGCCUUGGAUCUUGUUUCUCUGUACUGGGUUUAUGCCCUUAAAACAAUUUACCUGAGGGCUAUGAACUCUUUUUGAAAAGUUUUUCAGGACACAAUAUAUUACACACCAUUGUUAUUUACUUGGAUUUGUUUCUUCCACUCCACUGAAAACUUCCAUGAAACUCUAUUACCUCUGAUGCAGGCAGAUAUUUUUUUGCUGCUUCAGGAGCAAGCCUGUCUCUGUUUUCACAUUGAAUUCCUUGCUAGACUGUUCAGUAGAGGAGGAGAGAGAGAGGAAGAGCGCCUUUACUUUCUAACAUCACAAAGCAUAUGGUAUUUACAAAAUAUUUCACCAGUCCUGCAAUGAGCGAUAUACUCAGUCUGCCAGUUCUGCCAGCACUGUUUUCCUAAUGGCUAAGAACUGUAGCACAGAGGAAAUAAAGCAAUAAUUAAAGCUUGAGAUAGACAAAACUGUCCAGUAAAUUAUCUAGUAGAUGAACAAAACUUGUAUUGCCUUAACCGUAGUUUGUAGUGCUAUUUUUUUAUAACUCAGAAGCCUCUUUAAUAGCAUUUUUCAGCUCAAUCAGUAGCCUCAAGUUGUGGUGCACUUUACUUUUGGUACUAAGACAAUGACCCUCAAGCCAUUAAAUAUUUUUCUAAAUUAAAAUUGUGUAACACUUUUUUGCUUUUUCUGAGCAGUGACAGGAGAAACAGGCCACUCAUCCUGGUAGAACUUACUCCAUGGAAGCCAACAGUUUCCAACUGUUGUAUUGAAGAACCUCCACGCAAACAAAUGGCUAUUGUAGAUUAUUAGUAAACUAGCCAAUAACAAGAGCUGACCUAGAAAAGGAGUGGGGGCAUAGGAAGGGGAGGGAGGGAAAUCCAUUUAUCCUGAUUGCUGAUGGGCCUCCUAUGUAUAAUAGGACAGGCCAUGGGGUUUUCUGUUCUUGUUGCUGCCAUCUCUUGGCCGCUUGUAAAAUCUGCCAGCCUUGAUCAGUUUCAAAGAUGAUGAUAUUACUUGCUAGUGGCAUGGGGUAGUGUCAAGCAGGAAGAUAUGGCAAAACGUGUGAAAUUCUGCCUAGGGCUCCUCCUACAAACCCUUAUUCACAGUGGCCUUCCCAUCCUCUACUUAGUAUUUCAAAGUUUCUCUCAGUACCAUGGCUAAAACCUCUGUACUCAGAGUCUUCCAAGGGGGUCUGAAAAUUCUGGUACAUGGGUCCUGCCAUUUCUCUCUUUGACUAAUUAUUGCCUAAUGUAGUUUAUGAAAGUGUAUUCCUUUAUAAUCAGGAUGCUCUCCAUGAGAGCCCCAAAGUGCCUUCCCUUGCCUAAGCACCUCUUGGAGCUGGAUCAAAUUAAUUUGGAGGAUUCUUUAUCAGCUGAGCUCUUGAUAAUUCCUUUCCAUGUGCAGGAACACCACUUAGCUACAAAAUAGGUGCAAUCAGUGCAUUCCUAGUGGCAUGUGAAAUAAACAGAUCCACCCCCCCCCCUUGUGGUGCUGGUCUUUAGUGUGUCACUAGAUUUUAAAUUAACGAGAUUUUUAACAAGUGCAUAUCAGUUUGAACAGUUUAAAUUCCUGCUACAUUAUAUUUUUGGUGCUGAACGCUAAAAAUACCUAGCAUCUAAAAAGACUGUGUUUUUUUUUUUUUUUUUUUAAAGCUAGAUCAGUGUGUCAAGAUGACCUGGUGGCUAUGGUUUGUAUUUAGCCCUAGCUUUCUAGGCUAACAAAGGGAAGAAUCUGAUUGUAAUAUAAUAAUUUUUUUAAUGGCUGCAUUAGGGAAUAUUCCACUAAAUGUCUUUUGGAUUAAAGUGUCACAGAGUAAAUGUUGAAUGAAGGAUUAAUUUGAGUGCAAAUACUGUACAUAACAGAAAGACUGAUUAAGAUUGUGGGUGACAACUUGUUAACAUCCUCUCCCUAAAUGCCAUAACUGAGACCAUCCAGAAACCCUGAAUCUGUGCUGUUGUAUUUCUGCGUAGUAGGAAUUGGUUCAGUGCAUUGCUGUAAACAGUUUAAAUGCUAAAUUCUGCCAAUCCUAAAUUCAAGAGUAGUUUUUACUCUGACAACAGUGAUCUUUGGGCCCAUGGGAUUAUUCAUAGGACUACUUAAGCAAAGUAAAAUAAAGAUCAGGGUCUUUAUUUGCUAGCCAGCAAAGCAUCCUUUUAUACUAUUUAUAGUGUUUGUUUGUUUGUUUUUUAAAUCAAGGACUGAUCAUUACAUUUUAGAUGUGGUAAAAUUGCUCUGUCACCCACAUUUGAAAAUGUUGCCUUAUAAGCCAUUGGAAAGUUAAGAGCUCUUGGCAUUUUUAACUAUUGAAAAUUGUUUUGCAAUUCUUGCUUGCUUAAAAUGUGAAGAUCAAAACCCUUUUGAAGCUGUUACGGUUUCGGAGUAAAAGGUUUUGAGACAGCAGCUGCAUUAUUAACCCUUUAAUAAAAGGGACUGGUGUUUUUUACAAAUUCCAAAGAACAAGGGAGAGAAUUAUACAAUUAUAGCUUGUAGGGGUUCUGUGAAAGUCUAUAAACAAUACCUUGUUAUGGAAAUCUCUAGUGCACAUGUGAUUUCUGAAUGCCUUCUGACCCCACACUCAGAUUGUCCAGUUGGGUGUUGUAUAUUAUCGUCCUUGAGUUAAAAAGUGAAGAUCUUCAAAGGCACAAGUGGCUCUUAAGAACUUUCAACUUUCAAUGGGAAUUAGUGCCUUUGAAAAUCUCCCCCUAAAUGUGAAACCUGUCAGUCAUCCCUUCUAAGUGGCAAUUUUUCCUUUACAGCAGAUGCAUCAUAAGUCUGCCUUUUCCUACAGGUAUUUUUGUCAACACUAGAAAAACAGUACUGUGUAUUAUUUCCACGAUCCACACUUCACUGCUAUCAGAAUAAGAUUUUUGUACUUUUUUUCUAGAUAUGCUAGCCAAACAUUUUUAUUAAGUUAACAAGUUACCAGCCUUGUCUAUGUGCUCAUUAGCUGAUAAAUGGAGGUAAUUAGGAAUGCCUUGUGGUUUUUUGUUUAAAGCUACAAACAGAUGAAGGUUGCAAGGAGUGGGUCUGGUUCUUUUCCAGCUAGACCUGCAGGAGAAACUAAUUCCAAUCUUAAACUUCCUAAUGGGUGUGACUCAAAUGCUCCAUCUGCUGGAGGAAUUGAGAUCGGGAAUUAGCUCAUUUGGGUGACAGAGCUGGAGGUGAGCAGAGCUGCAGCCCACAGCUCCAGCACUGCAGGGCAGAGGAAGCCUAAGGCUCUGACACAACUGCCCAAAGGGGCCCUUCUUGAGGGAAGAAAGGACGCACCCCAGAGACAACCUGCGAGGGGAAGUAUCCUGUGGACCUUGGACAUUGAAAUUAUUGCUCAUGAAGAUGAAGAACCCUGAGCCUUCCCAGCAUUGUUCAAGCUUCCCCACCCAGCCAACAGCCUUUAGUGCUAGCCUCCACCGUACCCAGCCAGAGGCAUUCAAUGGCUGAUUAUUAUGCCAAAUAGUUAGUCUUGUACACAAGAGGCAGCCAACAGCACUGACCAAAACCAGGAAUAAUGACUACUGAAGGGCUACACUUACAGCAACAGAACAGCUGUAGCCAUAUUGAGUGGUGCUACCUGUCUAGAUCUAGUAGUAUUUUAAAACUUUUUGGUGGUAACCACAGGCUGGCACGACACCUACAAAACACUUGACGAUGGUUAGACAACUCACUGCUCCGCUGCUCUCAUACUCUACAAGCGCUUUGUAAUAAAAUUACCCAAAUCAGUUGUAAACUGGAAGGAAGGAGUUUGCCUUGAAAUCUGCCCAGCAGCCCAAAUUCUGCAAGCGGAUGUGCGUGGGGUGCCCCUAUUGAAGCCAAUGGGAAUUUUGAACCAAUAGCUGCAGCAAUUAUAAAAGAGGAAGACAAAACUACCUCCAGGUUCUGCCAAGGUUCAGGUAAAGCUCAACCACCACCAAUCCACGUGGGCACAGGCACCUGGGGAAAUCUCAAAGCCUCCGGCUGCGAAGAGCUUCCAUCCCUUCCUUCUCAAGGAGACUGUGCUUGCAAUUGCACCGUUAGAUUUAGGGACCAGAGCUCAUUAUUAACAUGCUUGAAAUAUUCCACUAUAAUAAGAGCGACUACAAGGAUAAAACACCUUGCAAGAGAGCAUGUCCCAUGUCCUGGGAUGAAACGAUGCUGAGAAAUUUCCCAAUACAGGAAAGCCGCAGACCCCUUAGUCUGUACUAAUCCGGAAGAUUGUUAGGAGCCAUUUGUGAGAAUGGUGCAUUUAAUCUAUCGAGUUCGUCUACCUGGGGUGGAUGAUGCAUCAGAAGUUCCUGGUCUUCUGAAACAUCCUCGCCUACUGCCAUCAGGUUUGUUAGAGAUUUGCUUCUAACACACUGGAAGUCGACGUGACGGCUCUUUCCUUCUUCCUUUUCCCAAGACAUCUGGAUGAACGGCCGUUGCACAUAGUUGUAUAUAACUUCUGACCGGCCUCCGGGUCUCCUCUUGACCUUCUCUUUACAUGUGGGAUAACCUGAAGCACAAUCAGCCCGUCAGUUUCAAUCCACCCCUUGCAUGCAUCACAGCACUGCUCAAACAAAAGGAACCCUAAAGAACAAGUUAUGGCCCGGCAAGAAUACUGGGUAGAGCUGGGACAACACCUCUAGCACUAGGUGGAAAAGUGCUCUCAUUCCACAUUUAGACCCUGUAAAAAUAAACUAGGACUAUAGUACAGAGUUUGAUUCUGGCAGUAGUGGUGUUGGUGUCCAAACCAAUUGUUCUCCCUUUUUAUUUAAGGUUUCUGUUGUUGUUUAGCAAAUAAAAUUUACCUUCAAUGCC
This is a non-coding RNA of Chrysemys picta bellii (western painted turtle), 6416 nucleotides long. The record is from RefSeq and is a predicted model, not a curated record. NCBI's taxonomy places the organism in Eukaryota, Metazoa, Chordata, Testudines, Emydidae.